UCAGUCUAUCAAAUUUCAUUUUUCUUUCUUUCUUUCAUUCAAUGUCCUCACUCUCACACUUUCUCACUCUCUUUUUUGUUUCUUUUUAUUCCAUCUCUCUCAAUUGCCGAUACUAAAGCACCUUAGCAUUCUGAUAUCAGGGUUCUAGGGAAGAACUGUUUACAGGUGAAUUCCGAUUCGCAAUGGUGAAUAUCAAAGCUUUCAAGAGAUUUCGUUUUGUCCACACAUGGAAAAACCAGGAUCAUCUUCCUUUGGCAGUCCUAUAUACUCUCCUCAAAUGGAUGGACUGUCAAGUGUCAUUUGUGAGGUGUGACUGAUGUUUUCAUUGAUGUACAGAUGAUAGCAUGGCAAUCUUCAUGGCAUUCUAAAGUCCACAGCUAGAGGUUUUAGGCUUAACCACAAUAUUUGGUAAUGUUACUACAGAAGAUGCCACUCGCAAUGCAUUGCUUCUGGUAUGUGUUUAGUUUAUUCUAUUUUCCAACACAGUAAUUCAUGCUUUGUCAUAAUUUCAGGUCUUUCAUAUUUUUGGAACAUGUUCAUGACCAAUAACUAUUUUUAAUGUUCAAAAGGAUAGUGUGAGAUUGCUGGAUGUCCAGGUCUUCCUGUAUGUAGCAGAGGGUACCCCUGAGCCUUUGAAGGUAACUGCAUUUACAUAUAAUUUGUGGCUUAAUCAAUGAGUUGUCCUUUAUUCCUUCUACAUAAUUAGACUGUGCCAAAACUUUUUUUCCCUCCUUCUAAUAACAUGCUCAACGAGUUGGUGAAGUUUUAGUGAAAUAGGGAUAUCUGUAAACAAAUUUUUAUUUGGUUAUUACUGUGCUAACCAAGGUUUCUUUUUCCCAUUUUGUUCUUGAAAAAUAUUAUUUAUGCAUUCUAUUUUUUAGAUAAACUCAGAGAUUUCACAGCUGAACUUAAGCUUUCCCUUUUCCAACUUGGAAUCAAUCCUCAGAUUGCUGCAUCAAUUCUCAUGCAAGUCUGCUGUUCUUUUAUCCUCAAGUUUACAUUUCUUGUCCAUUAAUUAAGACAAUUAUGAUUGUCCUUAGAAAACCAUGUUCGAUCCAAAAACUGAACUUGCAGAGGAUUUACUUCUCAUUUGAUCUUUCAGGAGGAUUUACUAAUACUAGAUUAUUUAAUAUCACCAUUUUUUUCCCCUUGAGUUACAAUGAUUAUGCUACUGAUGAUGAUCAAUAUGAACAAAAAUUGAAGAAAGAGACUUGGGUAUUUUUCAUGUUGGCAACAUAAGAUAGAUUUGUAAAUUUUCUUAUCUGGAAAUGCACGACAUUUUUUUAACAAAUUGAACUUUGUGGAGGUGAGACAUUUAUUUAAUCUACAUUUGAGCUGGUCACUAUAGUUAUGGAGGUGGAGAGCCAACUGAUAAUGCUGCAAGAUUCUACAAAUGGUUUAUUGAGGAAAAUGAAAGGGGAGCCUGGCUUCAAUAGCUUACAUAUGGUGUCUUCAGUCUGCGUAACCGUCAAUAUGAACAUUUCAACAAGGUAAAUUCGUUAUAUAUUCAUAUCAAUCCAUUACUUCUCUUUCUGUGAUUCUUUCAUUCUUGUCUUUUUUGUCCAAUUUUUUUAUCUAUCACUGAGCAUAUUUUGGAAGAUCCGUAGCACACCAUAAUAUUGUUACUGAGCCAAAUAUACUCAAUGACUAGUCACUGGUAAUUGUAAAUGCAAUGUUUUAUAUUGGAACUUCUUUCUAAUUGCCUCAAUAAUUUUCAUGUGUAUGUUAAUCAAAUCAAGGACAUGACAUUGAAACUAAUAAAAGUGUAGUGUUGAGAGCUAUAUCAUUUCAUCCGUUUGGCUAUUAUGGAGUUUUAGUGUUUCAUUUGUCUUUGGAAUUUUAGGAUGAUGCAGUGAAGAACCUAGUGACUAAGUGUAGACGCGUCCCGAGGGUUUUUUGCUACUACAGUUCGGACUCAAAUGUCACGGUUCUUAAUCUGAUCUCGUAAAGUGUA
This is a long non-coding RNA of Camellia sinensis, 1954 nucleotides long. RefSeq lists it as uncharacterized. NCBI's taxonomy places the organism in Eukaryota, Viridiplantae, Streptophyta, Magnoliopsida, Ericales, Theaceae. The record is from RefSeq and is a predicted model, not a curated record.